RNAcentral lists this transfer RNA (38 nucleotides) under Campyloneurum phyllitidis. RNAcentral's name for it is "partial tRNA-Leu". The record is from RNAcentral. Lineage: Eukaryota; Viridiplantae; Streptophyta; Polypodiopsida; Polypodiales; Polypodiaceae.
UUCACGGGACCGUGAGGGUUCGAAUCCCUUUAUCCCCA